Oncorhynchus tshawytscha (Chinook salmon) is the source of this 520-nucleotide long non-coding RNA. NCBI's taxonomy places the organism in Eukaryota, Metazoa, Chordata, Actinopteri, Salmoniformes, Salmonidae. The record is from Ensembl.
ACUGGUUGUGGUGAUGUUGUAUUGACUGGGUGUAGUGAUGUUGUAUUGACUGGGUGUAGUGAUGUUGUAUUGACUGGUUGUAAUGACUGGUUGCAGUGAUGUUGUAGUGACUGGUCGUAGUGAUCUUGUAAUGACUGGGUGUAGUGAUGUUGUGGUGACUGGUCGUAGUGACUGGUCGUAGUGAUGUUGUAGUGAUUGGUCGUAGUGAUCUUGUAAUGACUGGGUGUAGUGAUGUUGUGGUGACUGGUCGUAGUGACUGGUCGUAGUGAUGUUGUAGUGACUGGUCGUCGUGAUCUUGUAAUGACUGGGUGUAGUGAUGUUGUGGUGACUGGUCGUAGUGAAGUUGUGGUGACUGGUCGUAGUGAUCUUGUAAUGACUGGGUGUAGUGAUGUCGUAGUGAUCUUGUAGUGACUGGUCGUAGUGAUGUUGUGGUGACUGGGUGUAGUGAUGUUGUGGUGACUGGUCGUAGUGAUGUUGUAGUGACUGGUCGUAAUGAUGUUGUAGUGAUGUUGUAGUGACU